RNAcentral lists this ribosomal RNA (494 nucleotides) under uncultured bacterium. Its description in RNAcentral is "partial 16S ribosomal RNA". It matches the Rfam family "Bacterial small subunit ribosomal RNA", at positions 28 to 507 of the family's 1533-position model. The record is from RNAcentral.
GACGAACGCUGGCGGCGUGCUUAACACAUGCAAGUCGAACGGUGAAGCGCCUUCCUUUUUGGUGGGUGUGGAUGAGUGGCGAACGGGUGAGUAACACGUGAGUAACCUGCCCCCUUCUUCUGGAUAACCGCAUGAAAGUGUGGCUAAUACGGGAUAUUCUGGGUCUGUCGCAUGAUGGGUCUGGGAAAGAUAUUGUUUCGGUGGGGGAUGGGCUCGCGGCCUAUCAGCUUGUUGGUGGGGUGAUGGCCUACCAAGGCGGUGACGGGUAGCCGGCCUGAGAGGGUGGACGGUCACACUGGGAAUGAGACACGGCCCAGACUCCUACGGGAGGCAGCAGUGGGGAAUAUUGCACAAUGGGCACAAGCCUGAUGCAGCGACGCCGCGUGAGGGAUGGAGGCCUUCGGGUUGUGAACCUCUUUCGCCAGUGAAGCAGGCCUGCCUCGUUUGUGGGUGGGUUGACGGUAGCUGGAUAAGAAGCGCCGGCUAACUACGUG